This is a long non-coding RNA of Haliotis rubra (blacklip abalone), 231 nucleotides long. RefSeq lists it as uncharacterized. The transcript has 3 exons. The record is from RefSeq and is a predicted model, not a curated record. NCBI's taxonomy places the organism in Eukaryota, Metazoa, Mollusca, Gastropoda, Lepetellida, Haliotidae.
AAGGUGAACCCUCUCUCAAGGUGAAGGUGAACCCUCUCUCAAAGUGAAGGUGAACCUCUCUCUCCAAGGUGAAGGUGAACCCUCUCUCAAGGUGAAGGUGAACCCUCUCUCAAGGUGAAGGUGAACCCUCUCUCAAGGUGAAGGUGAACCCUCUCUCAAGGUGAAGGUGAAGGUGAACCCUCUCUCAAGGUGAAGGUGAACCCUCUCUCAAGGUGAAGGUGAACCCUCUCU